RNAcentral lists this long non-coding RNA (271 nucleotides) under Dromaius novaehollandiae (emu). Its description in RNAcentral is "lncRNA (ENSDNVG00000008698.1)". The record is from RNAcentral. Lineage: Eukaryota; Metazoa; Chordata; Aves; Casuariiformes; Dromaiidae.
CUUUGAUAUGUGGUUUACAGGUACAGUGGAAUCAGUUGCAGGGCUGGAGCCUGUAUGAAUCAAAUGAUUUCUCCAGCAGCAAGCUCUUACGUGGAGGUUGCCUUCCCAUGGCCUGACCUGGGCACAGCUGAUGCUCCAUCCGUGAUGCUGGGGCCUUACUUGCAAGCUGAGAAUCAUGCCAGUAAAGCUUAGGAGGAAUCUUUCUGCCUGACAUCAUGCAUCACAUGGGAAGUACCUGGCCCCACAUCCUGACCUGGCUGAAAUGAACCAA